This 1501-nucleotide long non-coding RNA is filed under the name Homo sapiens (human). RNAcentral's name for it is "non-protein coding lnc-PHACTR1-1:5". The record is from RNAcentral. Lineage: Eukaryota; Metazoa; Chordata; Mammalia; Primates; Hominidae.
GUUUGUGAAACCCGACGGGAUGAAGGGCUAGGCUCGCCUCCAGAGUAGUGUAGUUUCUCCCGCCGUGGGCACCCGGCCCCUUGCUACCCCGCAAAAUCUCGCGACCAUUUACUCUGGCCAUCCGAAGGCGCGUGCCUGGGUUGCACUCCCGUGUCCGGCCCUCGAGGUUCUUGCCUAGGGAAGACCCGAGCCCUAGGGCCGUACUUAAGCUGCCUGCGUGCAGGACCCGGGUUUUGCUUUUGCUAAUUUCCUCCCCACCCCAGGUAUGUGGGAAUAGAUGAAGACCAUCCGAAUGAGAAGAAAAAAGGCAGGCAGAGGAGUGCAAGUCUGAUUUAGAGCAGGCAGGCUCCCUGGGUUGGUUAUUGUAGGUAACUGACUGGUUUUCUGGGCAGGUUGCUGCAGGUUGUGGAUUGGAGGUCUAUUUUUAUAUUAGAUUUGGCCAUUGUCUUAGUAUAUUCAGCCUCUCAGGUAAAACACUAUAACAUAGGAGAAAAAUGAACGUGUUUUUUUUUUAAAAAAAGAUGUGCUAAAUGCAAGCUCCUAAUUUGUUAUUAGUAGGUCUAACAGAACAGAGUUACUCUUUAAAGUAGCUACUAACACUUACAAAUGCUUUCUAUUUCUGUGCUUGCCUCCCUGGUCCUCGGGCUGGCUGAGCAGCAGUGCCCAAGUAGGUUUUUAAACCGCCAGGGUUUGAGAGAAAUCCCCAAUGAUGGGUAUCGUCCCUUUGAAAGUUCAAAUCUCUACCAAAUAAGCCACACGGAUGCCAAGCUUUGAAGGAAACUUAGGACUAUCAACAGUGCAGAAGUCCAGUUAUAGUGCAGACAAAUGUGUGUAUAAUGGCUAGACAGAACUUAAAAAUGAAGAAACGUGUGGUGGUUGAACUCAAACACUGAUGCCCCUCCCCACUCCCUUACCACCACCAUCUUUAGUUCCUCAGUACUGGGGUACUAAACCUUCCUUGGGUAGUGUUCACAUGAGUAAGCAGAGUUCUUCAAGUUACCUUACACAAGUUCCAUUUACUUCAUCUAAACCUUGGGCCGGUCACUAACUUUUAUAAUUGCCUUUUCUUGUCUUUAAAAUCAUCACCAGGGCUGGGCACUUACUGUGUGCAGGCGCUGUUCUAUGGACUCAGGAUACAUCAGCUACCGAAGCAAAGAUCCCUAACCUUGUGAAACUGACAUUCUGGUGGGAGGACAGAUCCAAUAAAAACUAAAAUAAAUAAGUCAAUGAUGUAGUGUGUUAAAAAGUGAUCGGUGCUGGCUGGGCGCCGUGGCUCAUGCCUAUGAUCCCAACACUUUGGGAAGCCGAGGCAGGCGGAUCACCUGAGGUCAGGAGUUCGAGACCAGCCUGGCCAACAUGGUGAAACCCUGUCUCUAGUAAAAAUACAAAAUUAGCUGGGUGUGAUGGCACACACCUGUAAUCCCAGCUACUCUGGAGGCUGAGGCAGGAGAAUCGCUUGAACCCGGAAGGCAGAGGUUGCAGUGAGCUGAGAUGGUGCCGC